GCUUAUGGCCACACCGCCUGGUUCACGCUUGAUCUCGGAAGCUAAGAUAGGUUGGGCCUGGUUAGUACUUGAAUGGGGAGACCGCCUGGGAAUACCAGGUGCUGUAAGCU
RNAcentral lists this ribosomal RNA (110 nucleotides) under Scophthalmus maximus (turbot). Lineage: Eukaryota; Metazoa; Chordata; Actinopteri; Pleuronectiformes; Scophthalmidae. The record is from RNAcentral.